RNAcentral lists this ribosomal RNA (253 nucleotides) under uncultured Methanomassiliicoccales archaeon. RNAcentral's name for it is "partial 16S ribosomal RNA". It matches the Rfam family "Archaeal small subunit ribosomal RNA", at positions 474 to 727 of the family's 1478-position model. Lineage: Archaea; Methanobacteriati; Thermoplasmatota; Thermoplasmata; Methanomassiliicoccales. The record is from RNAcentral.
UACCCGCGCCCCGAGUGGUGGUCGAUAUUAUUGAGCCUAAAACGUUCGUAGCCGGUCUCCUAAAUCCCUGGGUAAAUCGGGCAGCUUAACUGUCCGAAGUCCGGGGAGACUGGGAGACUUGGGACCGGGAGAGGUCAGAGGUACUUCUGGGGUAGGGGUAAAAUCCUGUAAUCCUGGAAGGACCACCGGUGGCGAAGGCGUCUGACUAGAACGGAUCCGACGGUGAGGGACGAGGCCCUGGGGCGCAAACGGG